AAAAAUUUAGUUAAAUUAUAACAUUAGUUUGUCAAGCUAAAAUUAUUAUAGAAUAAUAAUUUUUA
RNAcentral lists this transfer RNA (65 nucleotides) under Staphylinidae sp. BMNH 1274705. RNAcentral describes it as "tRNA-Asp". It matches the Rfam family "tRNA". Rfam says of the family: Transfer RNA (tRNA) molecules are approximately 80 nucleotides in length. Lineage: Eukaryota; Metazoa; Arthropoda; Insecta; Coleoptera; Staphylinidae. The record is from RNAcentral.